Molecule: ribosomal RNA, 1803 nt
Filed under: Pseudorogneda sinensis
Lineage: Eukaryota; Metazoa; Platyhelminthes; Rhabdocoela; Polycystididae
Description: SSU rRNA
Rfam family: Eukaryotic small subunit ribosomal RNA
Source: RNAcentral
CUGGUUGAUCCUGCCAGUAGUCAUAUGCUUGUCUCAAAGAUUAAGCCAUGCAUGUACAAGUUCACACCUUUAUAUGGUGAAACCGCGAAUGGCUCAUUAAAUCAGCUAUUGUUCCUUAGAUCUUACAUUGUUACUUGGAUAACUGUAGUAAUUCUAGAGCUAAUACAUGCCAUUAUAUCCCGACCGUAAGGAACGGAUGGAUUUAUUAGAACAAAACCAACCUGGGCUUGCCCAGUUGCUUUGUUGACUCUGGAUAACUUUACUGAUCGCAUGGCCAUGUGCUAGCGACGUAUCUUUCAAGUGUCUGCCCUAUCAACUAUCGAUGGUGGGUUAUAUGCCUACCAUGGUUAUGACGGGUAACGGGGAAUCAGGGUUCGAUUCCGGAGAGGGAGCCUUAGAAAUGGCUACCACAUCUAAGGAAGGCAGCAGGCGCGCAAAUUACCCACUCUCAGCUCGAGGAGGUAGUGACGAAAAAUAACGAUGUAGGUCUCAAUUGAGACUCUACAAUUGGAAUGAGUACAAUUUAAAUCCUUUAACGAGGAACAAUUGGAGGGCAAGUCUGGUGCCAGCAGCCGCGGUAACUCCAGCUCCAAUAGCGUAUAUUAAAGUUGCUGCAGUUAAAAAGCUCGUAGUUGGAUCUCAGGUGGAGUCUGUACGGUCAGUUCUUUUACUGUACCAUCAUUCUCGCCUAAUCAGCCGUUUGUUACUAGGAGUGCUGUUUACUCAGUGCUUCAAGUACUCGGCAUGUUUACUUUGAAAAAAUUAGAGUGCUCAAAGCAGGCCUUGUGCUUGAAUAGUGUUGCAUGGAAUAAUGGAAUAGGACUUCUGUUCUAUUUUGUUGGUUUUCGGAACUGAAGUAAUGAUUAAAAGAGACAGACGGGGGCAUCUGUAUGGCGGUGUUAGAGGUGAAAUUCGAUGACCAUCGCCAGACAAUCUACUGCGAAAGCAUUUGCCAAGGAUGUUUUCAUUAAUCAAGAGCUAAAGUCAGAGGAUCGACGGCGAUCAGAUACCGCCUUAGUUCUGACCAUAAACGAUGCCAACUGACAAUCAGUGAGCAUUAUCUUUUUUCUCACUGGCAGUCCCCGGGAAACCUUUAAGCUUAUAGGUUCUGGGGGGAGUAUGGUUGCAAAUCCGAAACUUAAAGGAAUUGACGGAAGGGCACCACCAGGUGUGGAGCCUGCGGCUUAAUUUGACUCAACACGGGAAAACUCACCCGGCCCGGACACUGUGAGGAUUGACAGAUUGAUAGCUCUUUCAUGAUUCAGUGGUUGGUGGUGCAUGGCCGUUCUUAGUUGGUGGAGUGAUUUGUCAGCUUGAUUGCGGUAACGAACGAGACUCUAGCCUGCUAAAUAGACAGCACGUAUCUUUUGCGUGCUAGUCUUCUUAGAGGGAUUAGUUGAAAAGAAGCAACUCGAGAUUGAGCAAUAACAGGUCUGUGAUGCCCUUAGAUGUUCGGGGCCGCACGUGCGCUACACUGACUAUAUCAAUGAGUAUCUCCCUGAAUCGAGAGGUUUGGGAAAUCUUGUGAAUUAUAGUCAUGUCAGGGAUUGGGGCUUGUAAUUAUUCCCCAUGAACGAGGAAUACCCAGUAAGCGCAAGUCAUAAGCUUGCGUUGAUUACGUCCCUGCCCUUUGUACACACCGCCCGUCGCUACUACCGAUUGAAUGGUUUAGUGAGGCUUUUGGAUUGGGACUGAUGAAGUGGUUUACUACUACGUCUGUUCCGAGAAAACUGUCAAACUUGAUCAUUUAGAGGAAGUAAAAGUCGUAACAAGGUUUCCGUAGGUGAACCUGCAGAUGGAUCA